This 253-nucleotide ribosomal RNA is filed under the name uncultured bacterium. Its description in RNAcentral is "partial 16S ribosomal RNA". It matches the Rfam family "Bacterial small subunit ribosomal RNA", at positions 524 to 776 of the family's 1533-position model. The record is from RNAcentral.
UACAGAGGGUGCGAACGUUGCUCGGAAUUACUGGGCGUAAAGCGCGUGUAGGCGGGUCGGCAAGUCAGGCGUGAAAUCCCCAGGCUCAACCUGGGAACUGCGCUUGAAACUGCCGGUCUUGAGUAUCGGAGAGGGUGGCGGAAUUCCUGGUGUAGCGGUGGAAUGCGCAGAUAUCAGGAGGAACACCGAUGGCGAAGGCAGGUCUCUGGGCCAUAACUGACGCUGAGAAGCGAAAGCAUGGGGAGCGAACAGG